GAUGAACGCUGGCGGCGUGCCUAAUACAUGCAAGUCGAGCGAACAGACGAGGAGCUUGCUCCUCUGACGUUAGCGGCGGACGGGUGAGUAACACGUGGAUAACCUACCUAUAAGACUGGGAUAACUUCGGGAAACCGGAGCUAAUACCGGAUAAUAUAUUGAACCGCAUGGUUCAAUAGUGAAAUACGGUUUUGCUGUCACUUAUAGAUGGAUCCGCGCCGCAUUAGCUAGUUGGUAAGGUAACGGCUUACCAAGGCAACGAUGCGUAGCCGACCUGAGAGGGUGAUCGGCCACACUGGAACUGAGACACGGUCCAGACUCCUACGGGAGGCAGCAGUAGGGAAUCUUACGCAAUGGGCGAAAGCUUGACGGAGCAACGCCGCGUGAGUGAUGAAGGUCUUCGGAUCGUAAAACUCUGUUAUUAGGGAAGAACAAAUGUGUAAGUAACUAUGCACGUCUUGACGGUACCUAAUCAGAAAGCCACGGCUAACUACGUG
RNAcentral lists this ribosomal RNA (497 nucleotides) under uncultured bacterium. RNAcentral describes it as "partial 16S ribosomal RNA". It matches the Rfam family "Bacterial small subunit ribosomal RNA", at positions 28 to 507 of the family's 1533-position model. The record is from RNAcentral.